This 6164-nucleotide long non-coding RNA is filed under the name Podarcis lilfordi (Lilford's wall lizard). Lineage: Eukaryota; Metazoa; Chordata; Lepidosauria; Squamata; Lacertidae. The record is from RNAcentral.
GAAGCCUGUGACCGUGGGACUCGGCGGGCACCGUUUGCGCCCCCCCAAUUGGGAAAAGGAGCUCGGCAACAGGCUCCGGAGCGGAGCGGGGAAGUGGCACGGUGCUGUGAGUCAAUUGCUUCUUCCGUGGAGCGAAGCCGCGCAGCUGUUACCGGAGAGCACUGCCUUUUUCCUGGGACAAUUUGGCUGUAUAACAACGAUCCGUGAGUAGGCUAACUGCGGAAUUAAAGGAACUUUACAAAUUUCAUGAACAAUUUGGCACCGAAGCGGAGAGGCAUAAACAGGAAGUCUGCCUUCCGUUCUUGUAAAUGGAGUAAAGCAAUGAACUUGAAAGCGGAAACCUUAAAAGACGUCGGAAAAGGAUUAUAAUUCGAGCAUCGAAACAGUGAUUUCCCCCCCUUGAUUGCAGGGGAGGAGGGGGGAGAAGGUUUGAACGUUUUUUCCCUGCAAGAAAAGAGAGGAAGAGGAGCUAAAAUCCACCGCUUAAAACCCUGGAACGGGUUCCCAGUGACAGUAAGAAAGCCGUACUGAGAAUCGCGCUGUGGCUGAAAGUACUUUUUGACAGUUAACUCUGCAUCUGAGAUACAAGUAAGAUACAAUAUUUCUGACUGGCUUCUCCUGGUUUUAAAGUAACAGGAAACAACUGAGAUAGAAACUGUUGUCCUUUUUGUGACUUGGGGGGCAAAAGGGAAAAGUUAAUUACUUAAAGACAUUUUUGACUGCUACUGUGUCCCCCUAGAGGAAGUUGGAAAUUGUUACAACACCAGCUGGGCCAAGGGAACUUUCCAUUUCAAAACAACUUUGGCUUUGAGUGUGAGAUUGACCUUGGGCUAUAUCUUGAGGGUUAUGGCAGACGGGAAAGAGAAGAUAGACUUGUUACAAGCAACGAGGUCUGGCAGAGUAUAUCGCACAGUGGGCUGCAAAUAAGAGCAUCGACAUCUGGCCCUGCUGGUUUACCAAUAGCAACCCCAUCGGCACAACCUAAACCUAAAGGUAUGGCAGCUGACGAUGCCCUGGCUCAGGCACUAGCUAAAAUUAAUGAAUCUUUGGAAAGAAUAAGUAAACAAGUAGCCGAGGCAUCGGGCAAAAUUGAUCAAAAUACCACAAGUAUUAAUAAUUUGUGACAGAAGGUAAAUACUAAUACAGAAACUAUUCAGAAAUUAUUACAGGAAUCCACCUCGACACGAGAGAUAGCCGCAGAGGCAAAGGAAAUUGCAACUGUUACAGCCACUGUUGUAGAAGAGAAGAUACCACCGUUACACAAACAACUUGAAGACCAUAAGUCAAUACUGUCUAUGAUUGAGUUGAAGGAGAAACAAGUGAACCUAAGGGUCAGGGCCGUACCUGAACUGGAGAAAGACAAUUUGAUUGAAUUUCUUACGCAGGAAUUUGCAGACUUUUGGAACCCAGAUUUGGAGGAUAGUUUCAAGAUAGUGAGUGCUUUUAGGCUUGGAAAAGGAGGGAGGAAGAACAGGGUGAGAGACUGUUUGAUCACCCUCCAAACAAAAGAGGAGAGAGACAAAAUCUUGAGUCUGCACUUCCAGAAGACCUUGGAAAUACAUCACUCAAAAGUGGAGAUAUUUAAAGAUAUUCCGAAACAUCUUUUGGACCUUAGGUCAAAUUAUAGAGACUUGGUUGGCCUGCUGAGAAGUAACGGAAUUAUUUUUAGGUGGGAAUUCCCCCAAGGCCUAUCCUUCAGUUACAAAGGGAAGAAGAUAAAAAUAAGAUCAGAGGACGACAAAGAUAAAUUUUGGAGAGACCACGGAGAAGACCUGCAGAAGAAAGUUACAGGAGAGCUAAGAGCACUUGUAAGUGAAACUCUAGACAUUCCAGAUUUACCUCCUGAACUAAAAGACCGUCUGCAGAAGGUGAUACCACCAACAGAACAGGAACAGGCACUGGGUGCAGUUGGAGGAGAAGCAAAGUAACUACAUCAUGGCUCUGCAACUACUAAGUUGGAAUUGUAAUGGUUUGAACUCCCCCCGGAAAAGGAGAUCUGUGUUUCAUUUAUUAAAAAAAGGAACAAUUGGACUUGAUUUGUUUACAAGAGACACAUAUAACAAGGUUACACAGGAAACUAUUGAUUAAUAAAAGACUUGGUCAGGAGUUUAUUUCAUCGGACAAGGUUAAAAAAAGAGGGGUAGUGAUUUAUGCAAAGGAGAGAUUAUUACCGAAAUUUAUCUUUAAAGAUGACCAAGGAAGAUUUGUUGCAAUUGAAAUUCAAACACAAGGAGAAAAAUUUUUGAGAGCCAGUGUGGUGUAGUGGUUAAGAGCGGUAGUCUCCUAAUCUGGGGAACCGGGUUUGCGUCUCCGCUCCUCCACAUGCAGCUGCUGGGUGACCUUGGGCCAGUCACACUUCUUUGAAGUCUCUCAGCCCCACUCACCUCACAGAGUGUUUGUUGUGGGGGAGGAAGGGAAAGGAGAUUGUUAGCCGCUUUGAGACUCCUGAAGGGGAGUGAAAGGCGGGAUAUCAAAUCCAAACUCUUCUUCUUCUUCUUCUGAUAGUAGGAGUUUACGCACCAAAUGAGGGGAAAUCUGAUUUUUUUAAAAAGUUGCAUGAUACCCUGAUGGACUAUUUGGAUUAUAAUGUGAUUUUGAUGGGAGACAUGAAUGGAGUGGUAUCUACACAUAUGGACAAGGCACAAAGACAGGUAGUUACUAAGGAUGGUAGACUACCGAAAACUUUUUUUGAGAUGACAGACAACUUGGACUUAGUCGAUAUUUGGAGAACAAAGAACCCCUUGGUUAAGGAAGGAACCUUCUUUUCUGAAGCCAAAAUGACAUGGACAAGAAUUGACCAAAUAUGGAUAACUAGAGGAAUGGCACCAAAGACUAGAAAAGUGGAAAUCUGCCCAAAAACCUGCUCCGACCAUAAUGCUGUUAAGAUGGAAAUGAAACUAACACCAACUGGCUCCUUCAGAUGGAGGAUGAAUGACACCUUAUUUAGAGAUGAAGAAGUGCUUAAGAAGGCCCAAAAAACCUUGAGAGAUUAUUUUGAGAUAAACAUGAGUACCAGUGUGGAAAAAAGAGUAAUCUGGGACGCAAGUAAAGCUGUUAUGAGAGGGUUCCUGAUACAACAGAAUGUAUUAAAGAAGAGAACCCAAAAUGAGAAGAAGGAUAAAAUUUUGGAGAAAAUAAAGGAAAGUGAAAAAAAAUUGAGAGUAAAACCAAAGUCGCAAGAGAUUUUAAGAAAAAAUAAAAUUAUAUCAAGUAUAUCAAAAUUAUAUCAAUUAUAUGAAAAUGAUGAAUCAGGAGAUAGAAUGGAAAAUUAAACAAAUGAGACAAAAGACAUUCGAGUCGGCUAAUAAAUGUGGGAAAUUGUUGGCUUGGCAAAUGAAAAAAAGACAAAAAUACAGUUACAAAUUUAGAAGUGGAAGGAAGGAAUAUACAGAACCCAGCUGAGAUUAGAAAUUGCUUCCAGAGGUACUUUAAACAACUAUAUACACAAGGGCCACAGAAAGAAACUGAUGUAGAUCGAUUUUUGAAAACAAAUGGAUUACAAAAAAUCUCUCAAGAAAAUAAAUUAAAGUUGAAUUACAAAAUAACUGAACAGGAGAUAGAAGGUGCCAUUCAGAAUAUGCAAUUGGGUAAAUCUCCAGGACCGGAUGGACUGACUUCUAGAUAUUAUAGAUCUCAAAAAGAAUGGUUAGUACAACCUUUGAAAGAGGUCUGUAAUGAAAUAAUGGAGGGGAAAAGGGCACCAGAGUCGUGGAAAGAAGCUUAUAUCACACUUGUACCGAAAACAGAGACGGAAAAGAUGCAGCUUAAGAACUACCGCCCCAUAUCACUGCUUAAUGUGGAUUACAAAAUUUUUGCAGAUAUUUUGGCUAAAAGACUAAAAAGAGUGUUAGUGGAAGAGAUACAUAAGGACCAAGCAGGCUUUCUCCCAGGAAUACAUCUAUCUGAUAAUGUGAGAAACAUAAUUAAUAUUUUCGAAAAAUUACAAGAGAACAUAAAUACUAAGGCAGUUUUAAUUUUUGUGGACGCGGAGAAAGCUUUUGACAAUAUUUCUUGGACUUUUAUGAAAAAAAACUUACAGGGUAUGGGGGUAGGCCAAGGUUUUGAAAAUGGUAUAAGUGCAAUAUAUUCUGAACAAAAGGCUAAAUUAAUUGUAAAUAAUGUGGUGACGGAAGAAUUUAAGAUAGAAAAAGGGACACAACAAGGCUGCCCAAUCUCCCCACUGCUUUUUAUAUCGGUCCUGGAGGUUCUGCUGAAUAUGAUAAGAAGGGACCAGUUGGUUAAAGGUAUACAGGUCGGAGCCAAACAGUACAAAUUGAGAGCAUUUGCAGAUGACUUAGUAUUGACGUUACAGGAGCCAGAAUCUAGUACUAAAAGGGUUUUAGAACUGAUUCAAGAAUUUGGUCAGGUUGCAGGGUUUAAACUGAAUAAGUCAAAAACCAAGGUUUUAGAGAAAAAUUUAACACUAACUGAGAGAGAGAGGUUUCAGAAUGAGACAGGUUUAACAGUGGUCAAGAAAGUUAAAUACUUGGGGAUUAAUAUGACAGCAAAAAAUGGGAAUUUAUUUAAAGACAAUUAUGAAAAAUGCUGGGCUGAAGUGAAAAAAGAUUUAGAAAUUUGGUCAAAUUUGAAGCUUUCACUACUAGGCCGUAUUGCUGCGAUAAAAAUGAAUGUAUUGCCUAGAAUGUUGUUUUUGUUUCAAACAUUGCAAAUUGUGGACAAAAUGGACUGUUUCAAGAAGUGGCAGAGAGAUAUUUCUAGAUUUGUCUGGCAGGGCAAGAAGCCUAGAAUAAAAUUUAAAAUACUAACAGAUGCAAAGGAAAGAGGUGGAUUUGCCCUGCCAGACUUUAAACUUUACUAUGAAUCAGCAGCUUUUUGCUGGUUGAAAGAAUGGCUGCUUCUUGAAAACGCAGACAUUUUGGAUUUAGAAGGUUUUAACAACGUAUUUGGAUGGCAUGCAUAUUUGUGGUAUGAUAAGGUCAAAGCGCAUAAAGCAUUUAAAAACCAUAUUGUCAGGAAAGCACUGUUUAAUGUCUGGAUAAGAUAUAAGGACUUAUUGGAAAAUAAAACUCCAAGGUGGCUGUCACCGAUGGAAGCGAAAGCUCAGAAAAAACUCAAUAUGGAGGUCAAAUGGCCGAAAUAUUGGAAAUUUUGAAACAGUAUGGAGAUAGGCUGAAAUUGCAGAGUUUUGAAAAACUAAAAAACAAAGUGCGAGACUGGCUUCAUUAUUAUCAGAUAAUGGAGGCAUACAAUUUGGACAAGAAAAUCGGCUUCCAGGUGGAAAAAUCAAAAUUAGAAACAGAAUUGUUAGAACCCAAAACUAAGAUUUUGUCAAAGAUGUAUAACUUGCUGUUGAAAUGGAAUACUCAGGAUGAAACGGUGAAAUCUGCUAUGAUUAAAUGGGCACAAGAUGUUGGACAUAACAUAAUGAUGGCUGACUGGGAACAGUUAUGGACCACAGGUAUGAAGUUUACGGCAUGCAAUGCCUUAAGAGAGAAUAUUAUGAAAAUGAUAUACAGGUGGUACAUGACCCCAGUCAAGCUUGCAAAAAUCUAUCAUUUGCCCGAUAAUAAAUGUUGGACAUGUAAAGAAACUGAAGGUACAUUCUUUCACCUUUGGUGGACGUGCCCAAGGAUUAAGGCUUUCUGGGAGAUAAUUUAUAAGGAAUUGAAAAAGGUAUUUAAAUAUACCUUCUUGAAGAAACCAGAGGCCUUUCUCCUGGGCAUAGUCGGCCAAUCGGUGUUAAAGAAGGAUAGAACUUUCUUUAUGUAUGCCACAACAGCAGCAAGAAUACUUAUUGCAAAGUAUUGGAAGACACAAGACCUACCCACUCUGGAAGAAUGGCAGAUGAAGGUGAUGGACUACAUGGAAUUGGCGGAAAUGACUGGUAGAAUCCGAGACCAGGGAGAAGAGUCGGUGGAAGAAGAUUGGAAGAAAUUUAAAGACUAUUUACAGAAAUAUUGCAAAAUUAAUGAAUGUUAGAAUGAUGCUGGAUUGAAGUUAAGUGGUUUCUAGCUGUAUUGGUAUAAAAGAAUAUGAAAAGAAUUGGAUUUUUAACAGGUAAAUUAAUGUUAUAAUAUACUAAGAUUAAAGAUCAGGAUAAAAUAAGGAGGGAAAGGAAUUGCUGAACUAAUAAAUUGAACUGGAAUACAAAAAGGGGAGGUAUGAGGAGGUCCAGGAAACAAGUAAAUGAAAGAUAAGUGAUG